UGCUGAAUUUCUGAGCAGGAUGUUUUUUUCCUUUGUGCUCUGUCUUGAACUGUUUGCAAUGUAAAACUUGUGUCCCAGUGCAUGGCUGGGAUUUCCCUGUGAGCAGUGUCUGGGGCUGGCAUCUGUCUGAUUGUUUUAACCUUAUCAACAACACAUGCUGGAAAACUUUUUGUCCUAUUCUGGAAAAAGGUGCCAUUCCAUAGCAAGUUAGCUCAGCCAAAGUAAUUUAACUGGACUAUACACAGAUAAGUAAGUUUGGCAUUUUUAGCCCAAUUUAAAGACAGCAGAUUUUGUGCAGGCAUUUUAAGUUAUCUGAUGAGCCACUGAGAUGAAAUAUCAUAAAGAUACAUAACUGAGGCUGAGAAAAGACUCAAUAGCAGUGGGGUGUAUUGUACAAUGUGAAAAGGAUGUUUAUAUCCAAACAUCACACGCACAACUGAACAUGAAUUCACAUUAGAUCAACUUGAACUUCAAACAUACAUUUAUUAGAUACAGAUUGAACAACUGCUUUUUAGGUAGUGAAGUACUGAUAUCACAAAGGUUUUAAUCUGAUGAAAUAUCCGACUUCUAAAAACCCAAACAUGGCUAAUAUUUUCAGCAGCUUUUUGAACAGCAACACCUGAGCACAGGUGAUGAUACUUAAUAGUCUGUUAUUAUUAAUGUCUUUUUUGGUCUUAUUACUUUCUGUAUCUUUAGUGGCAUGUCAGUUUUGCCAUGACAAGCCCUGUAGAAAUUUGUAAUGAGUGAAGCUGAAGACAUGAAUCCACUUCUCUGCUACUGACAUUGUAAUACUUCAUUACAGAGCAUCGACAGAGCAUAUGAGACUCACCAUAUUUGCAGCCUUUGAAAUAAUAUUUAGGUCUACAUAUAGAGGAAAUAAAAUGCCUUAAUUAAUUUUCUGCAUCACUGAGAUGGAGUUUCAGUCAAAUGGGGAAGGCGGAUGUCAGAGCAAGCCAUCCUAGAACCAAGCCUCCAGCACUAUUUGGGAGCAAAAGACACUGUGAAUGCAUUAACUUUGAAUGGUUCCCUGAACUGACUGAUUCGGUUUCUUGGUGCAUUGUAUGAGAUGUUUGGAUAUGCAUUCACAACUCUGGAUUCCUCUCUGAAAGCCAGGAUCCUUCAUGCCGAAGUCAGUGCUGCUUCCUAGGGUUCUAAAUCCCUGAAUUUAGUCUUAGUCAUGAGUUGCAAGAAUGCUAUCCAGCAUUGUAAGUAAGUCAGCAGCAUCCCCCAAAUAAGAUGAUAAAGCAGCUGUGUUGGCUCUAGAGCAGCUUAACUUUAAGCUUCUGAGUAUGAUGAAUUAUUGUUUAAGGAGAUGUAUUCAUAAUUCUGUUCCUUCCAAGCAGGUGGUUGAUAUUUUGAGAGCCCUGCUGUAUCAGCACUAUGUAUAUUUGGCACAGAAACUGCAUGAAUAUUAUAAAUUCUAUGUUUAAUUGGGUCUCAUAAAGAAAUCCUCUAAAUCAUAGUCAUCCCAUCAAACAAAACAGGAAAUUGACAUGGUGAGGUAUUCCGUAACAUCACUUCUUUUUUCCCCUAAAGGUUAGACAAAACUUUGUUAUUUUCUUAGAAGAAAAAAAGAUGAGAGAGUCAAGUAUCUUUGAUGUAGUCCUAUUUAUCUGAAAGUAACAGAAAAUCCUAAUUCUUAGCACAGAAAUCAAGUAAUGUGAGAAAGUACUUUUAUAUACAACACCAAGCCUCCCUGAGCUAGCACUCAGCCAAAAAAAGCUCUCUGUUUAGGCUUUCAGCAAGACCACAGUGCCACUAUUCAUUCAGGUUGCAUCCUAUCUUUCCAGCUUCUUUAUAUCUUCCUUGAAAUAUUUCUGUAUCUCUGUCUCAUGUAUUUUUGGCAUAAAAUACCACAGUAUCAUCGGCUAUACAUUAGGUGGUAAUACUCCUUCAUUGACAUUUGUGACUGUUAGGUGGCAUUGUAUGGUGGGGGGUGAGAGUUGCUGUUGUUUCAACAUACUGGGGCUGCAAAAAUCCUAAUGUGCUCUGUUUUUCCUGAAUAAGAGUUCUUUCCAUAGAACUAUGAGGCUAUGAUAAA
Pezoporus flaviventris is the source of this 2041-nucleotide long non-coding RNA. RefSeq lists it as uncharacterized. Lineage: Eukaryota; Metazoa; Chordata; Aves; Psittaciformes; Psittacidae. The record is from RefSeq and is a predicted model, not a curated record. The transcript is spliced from 3 exons.